CAACAGUUAUAGUUUAUUUGGUUUCGUUUUCAUGGAUAACCGUGCUAAUUGUAGGGCUAAUACAAGUUCGAGGCCUUUUUGGCGGCGUUUAUUAGUUCUAAACCUCCCUUGGUUUUCGGUGAUUCAUAAUAAACUCGCGAAUCGCUUUUAGCGAUGGACCAUUCAAGUUUCUGACCCAUCAGCUU
RNAcentral lists this ribosomal RNA (185 nucleotides) under Babesia gibsoni. Its description in RNAcentral is "partial 18S ribosomal RNA". It matches the Rfam family "Eukaryotic small subunit ribosomal RNA", at positions 105 to 321 of the family's 1831-position model. Lineage: Eukaryota; Apicomplexa; Aconoidasida; Piroplasmida; Babesiidae. The record is from RNAcentral.